GUAGUAUUCCCUCCGUCCCAAAACUCUUGUCUUACAUUUGUUUAGAUACGGAUGUAUCUAACACUAAAAUGUAACUAGAUACAUCCGUAUUUAGACAAAUUUAAGACUAUAAUUUUGGAACGGAGGGAGUACAAA
Triticum aestivum (bread wheat) is the source of this 135-nucleotide non-coding RNA. Lineage: Eukaryota; Viridiplantae; Streptophyta; Magnoliopsida; Poales; Poaceae. The record is from Rfam.